Molecule: long non-coding RNA, 129 nt
Organism: Monodelphis domestica (gray short-tailed opossum)
Lineage: Eukaryota; Metazoa; Chordata; Mammalia; Didelphimorphia; Didelphidae
Rfam family: Rhabdomyosarcoma 2 associated transcript conserved region 5
Source: Rfam
UGACAGCUAAAGAGCAGUCUUAGAGCAUGAAGGCAGCCCAGUGCCAUUUUCUUGGGGCCACCAACCGAGAGUUAAGCUACCUAACAUUUCGAAAACCCAGCCCAUUUCACUCACAGCAGGCAUGGCAGG